RNAcentral lists this ribosomal RNA (165 nucleotides) under uncultured bacterium. RNAcentral's name for it is "partial 16S rRNA". It matches the Rfam family "Bacterial small subunit ribosomal RNA", at positions 355 to 511 of the family's 1533-position model. The record is from RNAcentral.
UAGGGAAUCUUCGGCAAUGGGGGCAACCCUGACCGAGCAACGCCGCGUGAGUGAAGAAGGUUUUCGGAUCGUAAAGCUCUGUUGUAAGAGAAGAACGUGUGUGAGAGUGGAAAGUUCACACAGUGGCGGUAACUUACCAGAAAGGGACGGCUAACUACGUGCCAG